CGAAUGGGGAGANUCAUCGUCAGCUCAUUUUAUAUAUAUGCUAGUUAUGAUAUGGGUUAUUACUAUACUUUGUGUAGUAUUAUUGCCUAUACAUUCUUACAUAUUUAUUUGUAAAAUGUUGUCGGCGUGCACUUCUCCUCUAGUAGAACGUCGCGACCCGUUGAGUAUUGGUCUACGGCCCAAGUGGGAUGAUUUUAAUAAAUUUUUAUUUAUUAAAAACCCCUUGGUGUUGUUUUAUCCUGACUAAAACUCGUCGGUAUAAACAAAAUAUGGUAUUGAGCCGCAUAUUAUAUGCGUCCAUAUCUGUCACAAGCAAGAUUAGUAAAAAAUAUUUUACUGACAGUACGGGCAUAGUACCGUCGUCAGUACUAAUCAGCUGUUGGUUGUACAGAAAUCUAGGACUGGCUAAAAAUAAAAUAUAUACCUGUCAGCGAUGCUACUGCUUUGGGUACUUUCAGGACCCGUCUUGAAACACGGACCAAGGAGUCUAACAUGUACGCGAGUCAUUGGGAUUAUUUAAUAAUUAAACCUAAAGGCGUAAUGAAAGUAAAGAUCGUCCUUGUGUCGAUUAAGGGAGGAUGAGCUAUAUUAUGAUAUAGCUUCGCACUCUCGGGGCGUCUCAUUCUCAUUAUGAGAAGAGGCGCACCUAGAGCGUACACNUUGG
RNAcentral lists this ribosomal RNA (664 nucleotides) under Gronaulax sp. RNAcentral describes it as "partial 28S ribosomal RNA". It matches the Rfam family "Eukaryotic large subunit ribosomal RNA", at positions 485 to 812 of the family's 3401-position model. Lineage: Eukaryota; Metazoa; Arthropoda; Insecta; Hymenoptera; Braconidae. The record is from RNAcentral.